UCGAGAAUAUUCCACAAUGGGCGAAAGCCUGAUGGAGCGACGCCGCGUGCAGGAAGAAGGCCUUCGGGUUGUAAACUGCGGUAGUAGAUUAGAAACUUCGGUGAUCGAUCUACGGAAAGAGGUUGGUAACUACGUGCCAGCACCCGCGGUAAUACGUAGACCUCAAGCGUUAUCCGGAUUUAUUGGGCGUAAAGGGUGUGUAGGGGGUUUCAUAAGUCAGACGUUAAAUUUCGGAGCCUAACUUCGAAACCGCGCCUGAUACUGUGAGACUAGAGGGUGCAAGAGGUGCGCGGAACACAUGGUGUAGGGGUGACAUCCGUUGAUAUCAUGUGGAACACCAAAGGCGAAGGCAGCGCACUGGGGCAUUCCUGACCCUGAAACACGAAAGCGUGGGGAGCAAAAAGGAUUAGAUACCCCUGUAGUCC
This 425-nucleotide ribosomal RNA is filed under the name uncultured bacterium. RNAcentral describes it as "bacterial SSU rRNA". It matches the Rfam family "Bacterial small subunit ribosomal RNA", at positions 355 to 796 of the family's 1533-position model. The record is from RNAcentral.